GCACCACAAUGGCAACCAGAGCCACAGCUUGACAAUGCCAGUUUCUUAACCUGCUGAGCCACCAAGGAUCUUCUGUUGGUGUUAAUUUUAAAUAAAAAGUAUUAUUCUGUGUAGGCCUCCUGGCAUAUUGCUAUUAUUAUUAUAUGCUAGAGAUAUUCCCAUGCAGAUAUGUUUAUACUUUUUAGUGACUUCCUGGUAUUCAACCGUAUGGAUACAAUGACAUUUAUUUAAUAUCUUAUAGGCAGACCAAGCUAUAAUGACUAUCCUUAACAUCCUCAUAAAAAGAAGCUCCCAAGAUGAUGUAUAACUGGAUAAAUUGCUAGCAGUUAAAUUGUUCAAAGAUUAUACACAUUUUAGCUACUGAAGAAACUUCCAAAUUCUUUCCAACAAUGUUAGGAUCAUUUAAACUUCCCAUCAAUGGUAUGAGAAACUACCAAUUUUCCCAUACUUUCUAUGUAUUAAGAUAUAUUUUUUACCUAUGGCCUGACAAUAGGAUAUCUUUCUAAAAUAUUACACAGGCAUACCACAUUUUAUUGUGCUUCAGCUUAUAACACUUCUUACAAAGUGAAGGGUUUGUGGCAACCUUAUAUUAAGCAAGUCUAUUGGUACCAUUUUUUCAACAGCAUUAUUAUUAUUAUUAUUAUUAUUAUUAUUUAUUUUAUUUAUUUGUUUUUUGUCUUUUUGCCAUUUCUUGGGCCGCUCCCACAGCAUAUGGAGGUUCCCAGGCUAGGGGUCCAAUAGGAGCUAUAGCCACCAGCCUACGCCAGAGCCACAGCAACGUGGGAUCCAAGCCGCGUCUGCGACCUAUACCACAGCUCAUGGCAACGCUGGAUCCUUAACCCACUGAGCAAGGCCAGGGACCGAACCCGCAAUCUCAUGGUUCCUAGUUGGAUUCGUUAACCAUGAAAAACGACAGGAACUCCUCAACAGCAUUAUUUUUAAAUUAAGGUACAUAUGUUGUUUUUUAAGAUAUAAUAUUAUCACACACUUAACAGGUUGCAGUGUAAUCCAUGAUGGAAAUGUGACUUAUAAAUACCUGUCAAUACUGUUUUCAUUUAAUGGUGCCACCACUGGAUACUGGAUGCCUGCCUAUAUUGCUAAUAAAGGUUCUCGAGAGAAGAGUUCCAAAAUGGAGCCAAGAUUAUGAAUAUUUGAUAAGGAGUCAUUAUCAGCGAAAGCCCGUGCAUUCUCAGAAUUUAUUUCAGACAAACUUAAUAGAAAAGGUUUUGGAGAAGGAGACUUAAGAUCUUAUCGGAUUAAGCGCCUUCUCAUUUAACAUUUCAAGUCAUGCUUAUGACAGAUGUCAAAUGACAGACUUGAAAAGAGAGGUCUUCAGGGGUUCAAGGCAGAGACUAAUUGAACUUUCUCCAAGCAGACAUACAUAGUUAAGCACCACCGCAAUCCUCUUUAUAAUUACGGAGCAGCGCUGAAAUCUUAGGAAAGCAUGUUGGCAUCAGUGUCCUCAGGCAGUUAUUUGAAACUAACUCAAGACAAAGGAAAGUGUCUAUUGGUAAUUUACACCAUUACAUUGAUUUUUUUCAGUUAUAAUCCAACCUCCAAUUGAGAUCUGAAAUUAAUAAAAUGUUUUCAUAAACAUAUAAAAACAAUAAAAAUAUUCCGUGGUGCUAAAUAAUUUACUGUAUUAUUUAUCAUGUUAUUUAUGAUUAUGUUUAUUUCGGUAAGUAUUAUCAUUAUUUAUGUUGUUUAUUAUUAUUUAUAUGUUAGGAGAAUUUGGGAGAAUCCUUGUAUGUUGGGAUAAAUAUUUCCAUGACAAGGUACAUUCAGGAAAUACUUGAUUUAAUGAAAUUGAGGAUUUUGUUUUUCCAAUAAGACUUUUGGUAGAGAUUUCUAAAGAGAACACUCUAUGAGCUUUCAAGAGUAAGACACAGUUGCAGCACUUUGCAAACUUAGCAGACCAAGGAAUGUUUCUCCCCCCAAAAUCUUCACUCAUGUCCUAAGUAACAGCACUGUUAGUUUCAACAGUGACCUAGACAGGUGCCCAUGCCCCAGGAUGGGACCUGUCUUGUUCUUUCCCUGCUGCUCCCACUUUCCUUGGCACAUGGUGGAAACUAACUAGAUAUGUGGUAAACGAAUCACUCAGCAUCACAAAGAAACUGAGGUUUUAAAUGUACCCUGCAUUUGUAAACUCACAGCAUUCACUGCAUUCUCUUCCUCACCAGGCACAUGGAGCUUCUGGAGAGUACCUUGCAAUGCCUGCUAACAGGGGCACCAGCCGUUUAACAGGCCUAGAACCUACCUUCCCAGGCCCUCCCCCCAAACAGCUGAAAGGUGGGUACUAUUUAGUGUAUAAGUAAUGCAGUGCACAACUGAGAAUAUGUUUAGCACAACUCAUUUUUUAAUGACCCCCCCAAAUGCUCACAAUAUCAAAAAAAGAGAGCAGGACACCAAACUGAACAUACAUAUUGGACUCCAAGUUUGUAAUAACCACAGACUUGUCUACACACACACACAUUCACACGCAUCUGUGUAAACGGAAAAGAAAUUCUUGAAAGAAAUGCCUAAAAAAGUGAUUUUCUUUAUCUCAGUGACUGAUUCUCUGUAUUUCCACUUUAUACAUGUUGACAAAUAACUACAUUAAUAGUCAACAGUUAUUCAUUUCUUAAAAUUAUAGUUGGGAGUUCCUGUCGUGGCUCAGCAGAAAUGAAUCUGACUGGCAUCCACGAGGACAUAGGUUCGAUCCCUGGACUCGAUCAGUGGGUUAAGGAUCCGGCAUUGCUGUGAGCUGUGGUGUAGAUCACAAACAUGGCUUAGAUCUCGGGUUGCUGUGGCUGUGGUGUAAGCUGGCAGCUGUUCCUAGCCUGGGAACUUCCAUAUAUCACAGGUGCAGCCC
RNAcentral lists this long non-coding RNA (2851 nucleotides) under Sus scrofa (pig). RNAcentral's name for it is "lncRNA (ENSSSCG00055002501.1)". The record is from RNAcentral. Lineage: Eukaryota; Metazoa; Chordata; Mammalia; Artiodactyla; Suidae.